AUGGAGAAGCUUAAGCUAAAAAAAGAACAGAGGUGCAUCCUUCAGAGUCAAGCUGAUAUAAUCCAAAACACAAGGAAGGCCAUGAAGGAGAUAGAGGUGGACAGAGACCACCUUAAAGAAGAGAAGAAGAAGCUAGAGAAUAUCAUUGCUGAGAUCCUGAAGGUUGGUCAUGGGUGCAAGGAAAAGCUGGACAAGAUCAAGGAAGUUGUGAUGGAGGAGUGA
This 222-nucleotide ribosomal RNA is filed under the name Triticum aestivum (bread wheat). Its description in RNAcentral is "partial small subunit ribosomal RNA". Lineage: Eukaryota; Viridiplantae; Streptophyta; Magnoliopsida; Poales; Poaceae. The record is from RNAcentral.